This 465-nucleotide ribosomal RNA is filed under the name Vreelandella stevensii. Its description in RNAcentral is "partial 16S ribosomal RNA". It matches the Rfam family "Bacterial small subunit ribosomal RNA", at positions 338 to 795 of the family's 1533-position model. Lineage: Bacteria; Pseudomonadati; Pseudomonadota; Gammaproteobacteria; Oceanospirillales; Halomonadaceae. The record is from RNAcentral.
CCUACGGGUGGCAGCAGUGGGGAAUAUUGGACAAUGGGGGCAACCCUGAUCCAGCCAUGCCGCGUGUGUGAAGAAGGCCCUCGGGUUGUAAAGCACUUUCAGUGAGGAAGAACGCCUGGUGGUUAAUACCCAUCAGGAAAGACAUCACUCACAGAAGAAGCACCGGCUAACUCCGUGCCAGCAGCCGCGGUAAUACGGAGGGUGCGAGCGUUAAUCGGAAUUACUGGGCGUAAAGCGCGCGUAGGUGGCUUGAUAAGCCGGUUGUGAAAGCCCCGGGCUCAACCUGGGAACGGCAUCCGGAACUGUCAAGCUAGAGUGCAGGAGAGGAAGGUAGAAUUCCCGGUGUAGCGGUGAAAUGCGUAGAGAUCGGGAGGAAUACCAGUGGCGAAGGCGGCCUUCUGGACUGACGCUGACACUGAGGUGCGAAAGCGUGGGUAGCAAACAGGAUUAGAUACCCUAGUAGUC